This is a long non-coding RNA of Hydractinia symbiolongicarpus, 3464 nucleotides long. RefSeq lists it as uncharacterized. NCBI's taxonomy places the organism in Eukaryota, Metazoa, Cnidaria, Hydrozoa, Anthoathecata, Hydractiniidae. The record is from RefSeq and is a predicted model, not a curated record. The transcript has 2 exons.
GACGUGGUUUUUAAAAUGAUGCGAUAGCUCGCACGUAGCAGAGGGUGGUUUCGAUCCACCGACCUCUGGGUUAUGGGCCCAGCACGCUUCCUCUGCGCCACUCUGCUGAAGGUAGGUAAGCUGAAAUGUGUCUCAUGUAAGGUGUAGUUUAGUAUUGCGAACAGCACUCGAACUAUGACCUUUUUACCAUUUCCAGGGGGAUUAGCUCACAUGGUAGAGCGCUCGCUUUGCAUGCGAGAGGUACCGGGAUCGAUGCCCGGGUUCUCCAAUGCCUUUUCCAUAGGCGUAAAAUGAAUGAAAUUUGCGCAGAGCAAUUUGCAGCAGCGUUCGUGUCAUGUCGGGAUGGCCGAGCGGUCUAAGGCGCCAGACUCAAGACAAAAUGUUCUUCCACUCAUCGCGUGGAGAAUUCUGGUCCUCGAAUGAGGGCGUGGGUUCGAAUCCCACUUCCGACAACUUUUCCCUGCCACACAAAAUUUUAGGCCUAAAAUGCAAGUCCACCGAGCCGGAUUUGAACCAGCGACCUAAGGAUGCCUGAGUGGUAUAAGUUCGUCUACAGUCCUCCGCUCUACCAACUGAGCUAUCGGUGGAUGUAGCAUCGUACAGUUCUUGUGCAGGACUAUGCAGGUCAUGUCACGUUUGUAGUAUGACGUGGUUUUUAAAAUGAUGCGAUAGCUCGCACGUAGCAGAGGGUGGUUUCGAUCCACCGACCUCUGGGUUAUGGGCCCAGCACGCUUCCUCUGCGCCACUCUGCUGAAGGUAGGUAAGCUGAAAUGUGUCUCAUGUAAGGUGUAGUUUAGUAUUGCGAACAGCACUCGAACUAUGACCUUUUUACCAUUUCCAGGGGGAUUAGCUCACAUGGUAGAGCGCUCGCUUUGCAUGCGAGAGGUACCGGGAUCGAUGCCCGGAUCCUCCAAGACGAUGUUUUUAAUUUAUUUAUUUUUAUACUCAUUUCAGUAGUUGCCAAUGGUCAUAAGAGGAUUUAUGAUGCUCGUAAGAUUACCUGGUAUUAAUAAUAAUAAUAAUAAUACUAAACCGCGCUGCAUAUGUCUAGAGCAUUUCUUGCUGUUUAAUUUCGCAUUGACAGUAUACACAGUUUCAGCUUUUAACAUGAUCGACCGUGUGGCAUUCGGGCAUUGACGCCAUCGCGAACAUAUUAUUUAAAUAUGAACUCGUCCUCGGUAGUAUAGUGGUAAGUAUCCCCGCCUGUCACGCGGGAGACCGGGGUUCGAUUCCCCGCCGGGGAGGUUCUUUUUAUCUUGUCAAUGUUUCGUUUCACGUCAGUAGCGUUCGCGGGACUGUCCGGGAAUACAGAUUUACGCCCGGUUAGCUCAGUCGGUAGAGCAUCAGACUUUUAAUCUGAGGGUCGCGGGUUCGAGUCCCUCAUCGGGCGUAACAAUUAUUUGGUACGAUGGUGAACUAACUUUCACCACAAUGUCUUGUCGAAAGAGGAUGAAUAACGUAACAUUUGCGGAGUGGCAAAGGCGAAGCAAACUUGAUGGGGAACUAGCUCAGAUGGUAGAGCGCUCGCUUAGCAUGCGAGAGGUACCGGGAUCGAUGCCCGGGUUCUCCAAUGCCUUUUCCAUAGGCGUAAAAUGAAUGAAAUUUGCGCAGAGCAAUUUGCAGCAGCGUUCGUGUCAUGUCGGGAUGGCCGAGCGGUCUAAGGCGCCAGACUCAAGACAAAAUGUUCUUCCACUCAUCGCGUGGAGAAUUCUGGUCCUCGAAUGAGGGCGUGGGUUCGAAUCCCACUUCCGACAACUUUUCCCUGCCACACAAAAUUUUAGGCCUAAAAUGCAAGUCCACCGAGCCGGAUUUGAACCAGCGACCUAAGGAUGCCUGAGUGGUAUAAGUUCGUCUACAGUCCUCCGCUCUACCAACUGAGCUAUCGGUGGAUGUAGCAUCGUACAGUUCUUGUGCAGGACUAUGCAGGUCAUGUCACGUUUGUAGUAUGACGUGGUUUUUAAAAUGAUGCGAUAGCUCGCACGUAGCAGAGGGUGGUUUCGAUCCACCGACCUCUGGGUUAUGGGCCCAGCACGCUUCCUCUGCGCCACUCUGCUGAAGGUAGGUAAGCUGAAAUGUGUCUCAUGUAAGGUGUAGUUUAGUAUUGCGAACAGCACUCGAACUAUGACCUUUUUACCAUUUCCAGGGGGAUUAGCUCACAUGGUAGAGCGCUCGCUUUGCAUGCGAGAGGUACCGGGAUCGAUGCCCGGAUCCUCCAAGACGAUGUUUUUAAUUUAUUUAUUUUUAUACUCAUUUCAGUAGUUGCCAAUGGUCAUAAGAGGAUUUAUGAUGCUCGUAAGAUUACCUGGUAUUAAUAAUAAUAAUAAUAAUACUAAACCGCGCUGCAUAUGUCUAGAGCAUUUCUUGCUGUUUAAUUUCGCAUUGACAGUAUACACAGUUUCAGCUUUUAACAUGAUCGACCGUGUGGCAUUCGGGCAUUGACGCCAUCGCGAACAUAUUAUUUAAAUAUGAACUCGUCCUCGGUAGUAUAGUGGUAAGUAUCCCCGCCUGUCACGCGGGAGACCGGGGUUCGAUUCCCCGCCGGGGAGGUUCUUUUUAUCUUGUCAAUGUUUCGUUUCACGUCAGUAGCGUUCGCGGGACUGUCCGGGAAUACAGAUUUACGCCCGGUUAGCUCAGUCGGUAGAGCAUCAGACUUUUAAUCUGAGGGUCGCGGGUUCGAGUCCCUCAUCGGGCGUAACAAUUAUUUGGUACGAUGGUGAACUAACUUUCACCACAAUGUCUUGUCGAAAGAGGAUGAAUAACGUAACAUUUGCGGAGUGGCAAAGGCGAAGCAAACUUGAUGGGGAACUAGCUCAGAUGGUAGAGCGCUCGCUUAGCAUGCGAGAGGUACCGGGAUCGAUGCCCGGGUUCUCCAAUGCCUUUUCCAUAGGCGUAAAAUGAAUGAAAUUUGCGCAGAGCAAUUUGCAGCAGCGUUCGUGUCAUGUCGGGAUGGCCGAGUAUGGAGUCAUGUACUGGACAAAAGUCACGCUAUAGAGUGUCGUGUUGCGUAGUAGAGUGUCGAGGUUCAAUAUAGAUCCCAAGGUCGCGAGGCGUAGUAUAGGUGGACGCGAGGCGUAAUAGUGAGACGCGUAUGUAAUAAUAGAGAGACGCGAGGCGUAAUAGAAGGACGCGAGGCGUAAUAGAGAGACGCAAGGCGUAAUAGAGAGACGCGAGGCGUAAUAGAAGGACGCGAGGCGUAAUAGAGAGACGCGAGGCGUAAUAGAGAGACGCGAGGCGUAAUAGAAGGACGCGAGGCGUAAUAGAGAGACGCGAGGCGUAAUAGAAGGACGCGAGGCGUAAUAGAAAUACGUGUAAAGUCGGAGCGUAAUAAGAUGUGUGAUGGGAGGAUCCGUGUCAGAGAAAGAACUACGCUUACAUACAUCUUCACUUUUUUCUUGUCAUGAAUACUUUAAAAGGAAAAAAUGAAAAAAAAAGAUUCCAUACUUGGUGUACAAGGGCUACUAGUU